This 568-nucleotide long non-coding RNA is filed under the name Homo sapiens (human). RNAcentral's name for it is "non-protein coding lnc-SEPHS1-1:1". The record is from RNAcentral. Lineage: Eukaryota; Metazoa; Chordata; Mammalia; Primates; Hominidae.
GCUGGGCUAAAUGGGGCAGAGGCCGGGAGGGGUGGGGGUUCCCCGCGCCGCAGCCAUGGAGCAGCUUCGCGCCGCCGCCCGUCUGCAGAUUGUUCUGGGCCACCUCGGCCGCCCCUCGGCCGGGGCUGUCGUAGCUCAUCCCACUUCAGGGACUAUUUCCUCUGCCAGUUUCCAUCCUCAACAAUUCCAGUAUACUCUGGAUAAUAACGUUCUAACCCUGGAACAGAGAAAAUUUUAUGAAGAAAAUGGGUUUCUAGUAAUCAAAAAUCUUGUACCUGAUGCCGAUAUUCAACGCUUUCGGUACAGUAACACUAUUUGUUAUUUUACAAUAGUAUGUAUUGUGUGCAUGUAAUGAGAAUACAAGGUGGAUUCGCUCCUGGCUUUACAGAUGUUUUUUAAUGAUUUGGUUUGUUGGGAAGUGUUUAGAAGCAUGGGCUCUGGUGCCAGACUGGCUUUUUAUUUUUUAUAGAGAAAGGUUCUCACUCUGUUGUGUAGGCUGAGUGCAGUGGUGCGAUCAUAGCUUACUGCGGCCUCAAGUUCCUGGGCUCAAGCAAUCCUCUUGCCUCAG